AGUUCAAGACCAUACAAUAUACCGUUGCAAUAUUUAAAAGAGAUCACAGAUAACUUCUCCGGCAAGCGAAUACUUGGCCAUGGUGGUUUUGGUGUGGUAUAUAAGGGAGUGGAGAGAAAUGGGGAAAUGAUUGCUGUGAAGAAGAUCAUGUCGUCGUUAAAGCCAGGCCUGCAGGAUCAGUUCGAGAGCGAGGUCUGUCAUCUUACCAUGCUUCAGCACCCCAAUAUAGUGUGAUGUCUAGGCCACUGCUAUGAAAUACAGAAAGAGUGUUUGCCAUACGAUGGGAAAUACGUCUUUGCUGAGAUGGCAGAAAUGUUACUUUGCUUGGAGUAUAUGUCAAAUGGAAGCCUUGAUAAGCAUAUAUCAAAUGAAUCUUCUGGACUUGAUUGGAGCACACGGUACAAUAUAAUUGAGGGGAUUUGCUAUGGUUUAUGUCACCUUCAUGAAGAUGUCGAUAAGCCUAUUAUCCACCUGGAUCUGAAACCGGCGAACAUAUUGCUUGAUGACGGUAUGACACCAAAAAUCACAGACUUUGGUCUGUCCAGACUACUUUACCAAGAACAAACUAUCUGCACUAAAUCUCGUGAUGGAACAUUAGGUUACAUGGCACCAGAAUUUAUACUUGGAGGUAAAAUUACACCGAAGUCAGACAUAUUCAGUUUGGGUGUCAUAAUCUUGGAGGUAGUAACAGGACACAGGGACUACCCAGACGUUACUAUAACACCAUCAGAUGACUUUAUCAAGCUUAUGCUUAAGAAAUGGAGAAAUGUGUUGCAGAGAUCGCCAAGGUAUUUAUUCCUAGAAACAGUUUGCGAACAAAUAAGGAGAUGCAUUCAGGUAGGUAUGAUCUGCGUGCAUCCAGACCGCACCAAGAGGCCUUCGAUAAAAAAGGCUAUCAGUAUGCUCCAGGGAUCAAAAAGUAUCGAGUACAGUAGAAAGAAGGCAAUGUAA
This 951-nucleotide ribosomal RNA is filed under the name Triticum aestivum (bread wheat). RNAcentral's name for it is "partial small subunit ribosomal RNA". The record is from RNAcentral. Lineage: Eukaryota; Viridiplantae; Streptophyta; Magnoliopsida; Poales; Poaceae.